This 492-nucleotide ribosomal RNA is filed under the name uncultured bacterium. RNAcentral's name for it is "partial 16S ribosomal RNA". It matches the Rfam family "Bacterial small subunit ribosomal RNA", at positions 29 to 507 of the family's 1533-position model. The record is from RNAcentral.
AGUGAACGCUGGCGGUAGGCCUAACACAUGCAAGUCGAACGGCAGCACAGUAAGAGCUUGCUCUUACGGGUGGCGAGUGGCGGACGGGUGAGGAAUACAUCGGAAUCUACUUUUUCGUGGGGGAUCACGUAGGGAAACUUACGCUAAUACCGCAUACGACCUACGGGUGAAAGCAGGGGAUCUUCGGACCUUGCGCGAUUGAAUGAGCCGAUGUCGGAUUAGCUAGUUGGCGGGGUAAAGGCCCACCCAGGCGACGAUCCGUAGCUGGUCUGAGAGGAUGAUAAGCCACACUGGAACUGAGACACGGUCAAGACGACUAAGGGAGGCAGCAGUGGGGAAUAUUGGACAAUGGGCGCAAGCCUGAUCCAGCCAUACCGCGUGGGUGAAGAAGGCCUUCGGGUUGUAAAGACCUUUUGUUGGGAAAGAAAAGCAGCAGGUUAAUACCCCGCUGUUCUGACGGUACCCAAAGAAUAAGCACCGGCUAACUUCGUG